GACGAACGCUGGCGGCGUGCUUAACACAUGCAAGUCGAACGGACAGGCCCUGCUUUUGUUUGGUUCUCGAGUGGCGAACGGGUGAGUAACACGUGAGUAACCUCCCCUUGACUUUGGGAUAACUUCACGAAACUGGGGCUAAUACCCGAUAUAAUCUCCUGCUGCAUGGUGGGCGUUGGUAAGUUUCGGCGGUUGUGGAUGGACUCGCGGCUUAUCAGCUUGUUGGUCGGGUAGUGGCUUACCAAGCCUUUGACGGGUAGCCGGCCUGAGAGGGUUACCGGCGACAUUGGGACUGAGAGACGGCCCAGACUCGUACGGGAGGCAGCAGGCGGGAAUAUUGCACAAUGAGCGGAAGCGUGAGGCAGCAGCGCUGGGAGCGGGAUGACGGCCUACGGGUUGUAAACAGAUUUCGACGGUGACGAAGAGUGAGUGACGGUAAUGGGUAAAGAAGCACCGGCUAACUACGUG
Molecule: ribosomal RNA, 468 nt
Filed under: uncultured bacterium
Lineage: Bacteria
Description: partial 16S ribosomal RNA
Rfam family: Bacterial small subunit ribosomal RNA
Source: RNAcentral